Molecule: transfer RNA, 73 nt
Filed under: Dyadobacter sandarakinus
Lineage: Bacteria; Pseudomonadati; Bacteroidota; Cytophagia; Cytophagales; Spirosomataceae
Description: Dyadobacter sp. Q3-56 tRNA-Met
Rfam family: tRNA
About the family: Transfer RNA (tRNA) molecules are approximately 80 nucleotides in length.
Source: RNAcentral
AGUGAGGUGGAGCAGUUGGUAGCUCGUUGGGCUCAUAACCCAAAGGUCGUCAGUUCGAGUCUGACCCUCGCAA